This 251-nucleotide ribosomal RNA is filed under the name uncultured prokaryote. Its description in RNAcentral is "partial 16S ribosomal RNA". It matches the Rfam family "Bacterial small subunit ribosomal RNA", at positions 525 to 775 of the family's 1533-position model. The record is from RNAcentral.
ACGUAGGACGCAAGCGUUAUCCGGAAUUACUGGGCGUAAAGGGCGUGUAGGCGGCACGGUAAGUCAACCGUGAAAGCUCCCGGCUAAACUGGGAGAGGUCGGAUGAGACUGCCGAGCUAGAGGGUCGUAGAGGGGUGUGGAAUUCCGGGUGUAGUGGUGAAAUGCGUAGAGAUCCGGAGGAACACCAGAGGCGAAGGCGGCACCCUGGACGACACCAGACGCUGAGACGCGACAGCACGGGGAGCGAACGG